UACGAAGGGGGCUAGCGUUGUUCGGAAUCACUGGGCGUAAAGGGCGCGUAGGCGGCCGUUCAAGUCGGGGGUGAAAGCCUGUGGCUCAACCACAGAAUUGCCUUCGAUACUGUACGGCUCGAGACCGGAAGAGGUAAGUGGAACUGCGAGUGUAGAGGUGAAAUUCGUAGAUAUUCGCAAGAACACCAGUGGCGAAGGCGGCUUACUGGUCCGGUUCUGACGCUGAGGCGCGAAAGCGUGGGGAUCAAACAGG
RNAcentral lists this ribosomal RNA (253 nucleotides) under uncultured bacterium. Its description in RNAcentral is "partial 16S ribosomal RNA". It matches the Rfam family "Bacterial small subunit ribosomal RNA", at positions 524 to 776 of the family's 1533-position model. The record is from RNAcentral.